GAUGAACGCUGGCGGCGUGCCUAAUACAUGCAAGUCGAGCGAACAGAUGAGAAGCUUGCUCCUCUGACGUUAGCGGCGGACGGGUGAGUAACACGUGUAUAACCUACCUAUAAGACUGGGAUAACUGCGGGAAACCGUAUCUAAUACCGGAUAAUAUAUUGAACCGCAUGGUUCAGUAGUGAAAGACGGUUUUGGUGUGACUUAUCGAUGGAUCCGCGCUUCAUUAGCUAGUUGGUAAGGUAACGGCUUACCAAGGCGACGUUGCCUAGCCGACCUGAGAGGGUGAUCGGCCCCAAGAGAACUGAGACCCGGUCCAGACUCCUACGAGAGGCAGCAGUAGGGCAUCUUGCGCAAUGGGCGAAUGCCUGACGGAGCAACGAAGCGUGAGUCAUGAAGGUCUUCGGAUCGUAAACCUCUUUUAUUUGGGAAGCACAAAUCUGUAAGUACCUAUGCACGUUUUGACGGUACCUAAUCAGAAAGCCACGGCUAACUACGUG
Molecule: ribosomal RNA, 497 nt
Filed under: uncultured bacterium
Lineage: Bacteria
Description: partial 16S ribosomal RNA
Rfam family: Bacterial small subunit ribosomal RNA
Source: RNAcentral